This 232-nucleotide ribosomal RNA is filed under the name uncultured bacterium. Its description in RNAcentral is "partial 16S ribosomal RNA". It matches the Rfam family "Bacterial small subunit ribosomal RNA", at positions 28 to 261 of the family's 1533-position model. The record is from RNAcentral.
GACGAACGCUGGCGGCGUGCUUAACACAUGCAAGUCGAGCGGUAAGGCCCUUUCGGGGGUACACGAGCGGCGAACGGGUGAGUAACACGUGGGUGACCUGCCCUCAGCUCUGGGAUAAGCCUGGGAAACCGGGUCUAAUACUGGAUAUGACUCCAUGACGCAUGUUGUGGGGUGGAAAGCCUUGUGCGGCUGAGGAUGGGCCCGCGGCCUAUCAGCUUGUUGGUGGGGGUGA